RNAcentral lists this ribosomal RNA (396 nucleotides) under uncultured bacterium. Its description in RNAcentral is "partial 16S ribosomal RNA". It matches the Rfam family "Bacterial small subunit ribosomal RNA", at positions 523 to 918 of the family's 1533-position model. The record is from RNAcentral.
AUACGUAGGGGGCGAGCGUUGUCCGGAAUGAUUGGCGUAAAGGGCGCGUAGGCGGCCCGGUAAGUCUGGAGUGAAAGUCCUGUUUUUAAGAUGGGAAUUGCUUUGGAUACUGUCGGGCUUGAGUGCAGGAGAGGUAAGUGGAAUUCCCAGUGUAGCGGUGAAAUGCGUAGAGAUUGGGAGGAACACCAGUGGCGAAGGCGACUUACUGGACUGUAACUGACGCUGAGGCGCGAAAGUGUGGGGAGCAAACAGGAUUAGAUACCCUGGUAGUCCACACUGUAAACGAUGAAUGCUAGGUGUAGGGGGUAUCGACCCCUUCUGUGCCGCAGUCAACACAAUAAGCAUUCCGCCUGGGGAGUACGGCCGCAAGGUUGAAACUCAAAGGAAUUGACGGGG